AUUGAACGCUGGCGGCAGGCCUAACACAUGCAAGUCGAGCGGAUGAAGGGAGCUUGCUCCUGGAUUCAGCGGAGGACGGGUGAGUAAUGCCUAGGAAUCUGCCUGGUAGUGGGGGAUAACGUCGGGAAACGGGCGCUAAUACCGCAUACGUCCUGAGGGAGAAAGUGGGGGAUCUUCGGACCUCACGCUAUCAGAUGAGCCUAGGUCGGAUUAGCUAGUUGGUGGGGUAAAGGCCUACCAAGGCGACGAUCCGUAACUGGUCUGAGAGGAUGAUCAGUCACACUGGAACUGAGACACGGUCCAGACUCCUACGGGAGGCAGCAGUGGGGAAUAUUGGACAAUGGGCGAAAGCCUGAUCCAGCCAUGCCGCGUGUGUGAAGAAGGUCUUCGGAUUGUAAAGCGCUUUAAGUUGGGAGGAAGGGCAGUAAGUUAAUACCUUGCUGUUUUGACGUUACCAUCAGAAUAAGCACCGGCUAACUUCGUG
RNAcentral lists this ribosomal RNA (484 nucleotides) under uncultured bacterium. RNAcentral describes it as "partial 16S ribosomal RNA". It matches the Rfam family "Bacterial small subunit ribosomal RNA", at positions 30 to 507 of the family's 1533-position model. The record is from RNAcentral.